Molecule: ribosomal RNA, 396 nt
Filed under: uncultured bacterium
Lineage: Bacteria
Description: bacterial SSU rRNA
Rfam family: Bacterial small subunit ribosomal RNA
Source: RNAcentral
AGUGAACGCUGGCGGCAGGCCUAACACAUGCAAGUCGAGCGGCAGCGCGGGGGCAACCCUGGCGGCGAGCGGCGGACGGGUGAGGAAUGCAUCGGAAUCUACCUCGUUGUGGGGGAUAACGUAGGGAAACUUACGCUAAUACCGCAUACGACCUACGGGUGAAAGUGGGGGACCUUCGGGCCUCACGCGAUGAGAUGAGCCGAUGCCGGAUUAGCUAGUUGGCGGGGUAAAGGCCCACCAAGGCGACGAUCCGUAGCUGGUCUGAGAGGAUGAUCAGCCACACUGGAACUGAGACACGGUCCAGACUCCUACGGGAGGCAGCAGUGGGGAAUAUUGGACAAUGGGCGCAAGCCUGAUCCAGCCAUGCCGCGUGUGUGAAGAAGGCCUCGGUGUAAG